GUGACUGCGUACCUUUUGUAUAAUGGGUCAGCGACUUAUAUUCUGUAGCAAGGUUAACCGAAUAGGGGAGCCGGAGGGAAACCGAGUCUUAAUUGGGCGUUAAGUUGCAGGGUAUAGACCCGAAACCCGGUGAUCUAGCCAUGGGCAGGUUGAAGGUUGGGUAACACUAACUGGAGGACCGAACCGACUAAUGUUGAAAAAUUAGCGGAUGACCUGUGGCU
This 221-nucleotide ribosomal RNA is filed under the name Salmonella enterica subsp. enterica serovar Infantis. RNAcentral describes it as "partial 23S ribosomal RNA". It matches the Rfam family "Bacterial large subunit ribosomal RNA", at positions 593 to 816 of the family's 2925-position model. Lineage: Bacteria; Pseudomonadati; Pseudomonadota; Gammaproteobacteria; Enterobacterales; Enterobacteriaceae. The record is from RNAcentral. RNAcentral also lists the same sequence under 54 other names.